GGUUAAGCGACUAAGCGUACACGGUGGAUGCCCUGGCAGUCAGAGGCGAUGAAGGACGUGCUAAUCUGCGAUAAGCGUCGGUAAGGUGAUAUGAACCGUUAUAACCGGCGAUUUCCGAAUGGGGAAACCCAGUGUGUUUCGACACACUAUCAUUAACUGAAUCCAUAGGUUAAUGAGGCGAACCGGGGGAACUGAAACAUCUAAGUACCCCGAGGAAAAGAAAUCAACCGAGAUUCCCCCAGUAGCGGCGAGCGAACGGGGAGGAGCCCAGAGCCUGAAUCAGUGUGUGUGUUAGUGGAAGCGUCUGGAAAGGCGCGCGAUACAGGGUGACAGCCCCGUACACAAAAAUGCACAUGCUGUGAGCUCGAUGAGUAGGGCGGGACACGUGGUAUCCUGUCUGAAUAUGGGGGGACCAUCCUCCAAGGCUAAAUACUCCUGACUGACCGAUAGUGAACCAGUACCGUGAGGGAAAGGCGAAAAGAACCCCGGCGAGGGGAGUGAAAAAGAACCUGAAACCGUGUACGUACAAGCAGUGGGAGCACGCUUAGGCGUGUGACUGCGUACCUUUUGUAUAAUGGGUCAGCGACUUAUAUUCUGUAGCAAGGUUAACCGAAUAGGGGAGCCGAAGGGAAACCGAGUCUUAACUGGGCGUUAAGUUGCAGGGUAUAGACCCGAAACCCGGUGAUCUAGCCAUGGGCAGGUUGAAGGUUGGGUAACACUAACUGGAGGACCGAACCGACUAAUGUUGAAAAAUUAGCGGAUGACUUGUGGCUGGGGGUGAAAGGCCAAUCAAACCGGGAGAUAGCUGGUUCUCCCCGAAAGCUAUUUAGGUAGCGCCUCGUGAAUUCAUCUCCGGGGGUAGAGCACUGUUUCGGCAAGGGGGUCAUCCCGACUUACCAACCCGAUGCAAACUGCGAAUACCGGAGAAUGUUAUCACGGGAGACACACGGCGGGUGCUAACGUCCGUCGUGAAGAGGGAAACAACCCAGACCGCCAGCUAAGGUCCCAAAGUCAUGGUUAAGUGGGAAACGAUGUGGGAAGGCCCAGACAGCCAGGAUGUUGGCUUAGAAGCAGCCAUCAUUUAAAGAAAGCGUAAUAGCUCACUGGUCGAGUCGGCCUGCGCGGAAGAUGUAACGGGGCUAAACCAUGCACCGAAGCUGCGGCAGCGACGCUUAUGCGUUGUUGGGUAGGGGAGCGUUCUGUAAGCCUGUGAAGGUGUGCUGUGAGGCAUGCUGGAGGUAUCAGAAGUGCGAAUGCUGACAUAAGUAACGAUAAAGCGGGUGAAAAGCCCGCUCGCCGGAAGACCAAGGGUUCCUGUCCAACGUUAAUCGGGGCAGGGUGAGUCGACCCCUAAGGCGAGGCCGAAAGGCGUAGUCGAUGGGAAACAGGUUAAUAUUCCUGUACUUGGUGUUACUGCGAAGGGGGGACGGAGAAGGCUAUGUUGGCCGGGCGACGGUUGUCCCGGUUUAAGCGUGUAGGCUGGUUUUCCAGGCAAAUCCGGAAAAUCAAGGCUGAGGCGUGAUGACGAGGCACUACGGUGCUGAAGCAACAAAUGCCCUGCUUCCAGGAAAAGCCUCUAAGCAUCAGGUAACAUCAAAUCGUACCCCAAACCGACACAGGUGGUCAGGUAGAGAAUACCAAGGCGCUUGAGAGAACUCGGGUGAAGGAACUAGGCAAAAUGGUGCCGUAACUUCGGGAGAAGGCACGCUGAUAUGUAGGUGAAGCGACUUGCUCGUGGAGCUGAAAUCAGUCGAAGAUACCAGCUGGCUGCAACUGUUUAUUAAAAACACAGCACUGUGCAAACACGAAAGUGGACGUAUACGGUGUGACGCCUGCCCGGUGCCGGAAGGUUAAUUGAUGGGGUUAGCGCAAGCGAAGCUCUUGAUCGAAGCCCCGGUAAACGGCGGCCGUAACUAUAACGGUCCUAAGGUAGCGAAAUUCCUUGUCGGGUAAGUUCCGACCUGCACGAAUGGCGUAAUGAUGGCCAGGCUGUCUCCACCCGAGACUCAGUGAAAUUGAACUCGCUGUGAAGAUGCAGUGUACCCGCGGCAAGACGGAAAGACCCCGUGAACCUUUACUAUAGCUUGACACUGAACAUUGAGCCUUGAUGUGUAGGAUAGGUGGGAGGCUUAGAAGUGUGGACGCCAGUCUGCAUGGAGCCGACCUUGAAAUACCACCCUUUAAUGUUUGAUGUUCUAACGUUGACCCGUAAUCCGGGUUGCGGACAGUGUCUGGUGGGUAGUUUGACUGGGGCGGUCUCCUCCUAAAGAGUAACGGAGGAGCACGAAGGUUGGCUAAUCCUGGUCGGACAUCAGGAGGUUAGUGCAAUGGCAUAAGCCAGCUUGACUGCGAGCGUGACGGCGCGAGCAGGUGCGAAAGCAGGUCAUAGUGAUCCGGUGGUUCUGAAUGGAAGGGCCAUCGCUCAACGGAUAAAAGGUACUCCGGGGAUAACAGGCUGAUACCGCCCAAGAGUUCAUAUCGACGGCGGUGUUUGGCACCUCGAUGUCGGCUCAUCACAUCCUGGGGCUGAAGUAGGUCCCAAGGGUAUGGCUGUUCGCCAUUUAAAGUGGUACGCGAGCUGGGUUUAGAACGUCGUGAGACAGUUCGGUCCCUAUCUGCCGUGGGCGCUGGAGAACUGAGGGGGGCUGCUCCUAGUACGAGAGGACCGGAGUGGACGCAUCACUGGUGUUCGGGUUGUCAUGCCAAUGGCACUGCCCGGUAGCUAAAUGCGGAAGAGAUAAGUGCUGAAAGCAUCUAAGCACGAAACUUGCCCCGAGAUGAGUUCUCCCUGACCCUUUAAGGGUCCUGAAGGAACGUUGAAGACGACGACGUUGAUAGGCCGGGUGUGUAAGCGCAGCGAUGCGUUGAGCUAACCGGUACUAAUGAACCGUGAGGCUUAACCUU
This 2904-nucleotide ribosomal RNA is filed under the name Escherichia coli. RNAcentral's name for it is "23S ribosomal RNA". It matches the Rfam family "Bacterial large subunit ribosomal RNA". The record is from RNAcentral. Lineage: Bacteria; Pseudomonadati; Pseudomonadota; Gammaproteobacteria; Enterobacterales; Enterobacteriaceae.